RNAcentral lists this ribosomal RNA (254 nucleotides) under uncultured bacterium. RNAcentral's name for it is "partial 16S ribosomal RNA". It matches the Rfam family "Bacterial small subunit ribosomal RNA", at positions 524 to 776 of the family's 1533-position model. The record is from RNAcentral.
CACGUAGGGUGCGAGCGUUGUCCGGAAUUAUUGGGCGUAAAGAGCUCGUAGGCGGUGUGUCGCGUCGGCCGUGAAAACCUGCAGCUUAACUGUGGGCGUGCGGUCGAUACGGGCAUCACUGGAGUUCGGCAGGGGAGACUGGAAUUCCUGGUGUAGCGGUGAAAUGCGCAGAUAUCAGGAAGAACACCAAUGGCGAAAGCAGCUCUCUGGGACGGUACUGACGCUGAGACGCGAAAGCGUGGGGAGCGAACAGG